Molecule: ribosomal RNA, 509 nt
Filed under: uncultured Verrucomicrobiota bacterium
Lineage: Bacteria; Pseudomonadati; Verrucomicrobiota
Description: bacterial SSU rRNA
Rfam family: Bacterial small subunit ribosomal RNA
Source: RNAcentral
GAUAAUACCCCUGGAAAUUGUUAGUACCUCAGGAGGAAGCCACGGCUAACUCUGUGCCAGCAGCCGCGGUAAUACAGAGGUGGCAAGCGUUGUUCGGAUUUACUGGGCGUAAAGGGUGCGUAGCCGGUCAGGUGUGUCGGGUGUGAAAUCCCACGGUACAUCCGUGGAACUGCAUUCGAAACUACUUGGCUAGAGUGCACGAGAGGAGAGCGCAAUUCUUGGUGUAGCAGUGAAAUGCGUGGAUAUCAAGAGGAACACCGGUGGCGAAGGCGGCUCUCUGGACUGCGACUGACGCUGAGGCACGAAAGCUGUGGGAGCAAACAGGAUUAGAUAUCCUGGUAGUCCCAGCUGUAAACGUUGUACACUUGGUGUAGGCGGAUUGUCCCCGUCUGUGCCGAAGCAAACGCGAUAAGUGUACCGCCUGGGGAGUAGGGUCGCAAGACUAAAACUCAAAGAAAUUGACGGGGGCCCACACAAGCGGUGGAGCAUGUGACUUAAUUCGAUGCAAC